Molecule: ribosomal RNA, 516 nt
Filed under: Salmonella enterica subsp. enterica
Lineage: Bacteria; Pseudomonadati; Pseudomonadota; Gammaproteobacteria; Enterobacterales; Enterobacteriaceae
Description: bacterial LSU rRNA
Rfam family: Bacterial large subunit ribosomal RNA
Source: RNAcentral
AGCUUGACACUGAACAUUGAGCCUUGAUGUGUAGGAUAGGUGGGAGGCUUUGAAGCGUGGACGCCAGUCUGCAUGGAGCCGACCUUGAAAUACCACCCUUUAAUGUUUGAUGUUCUAACGUGGACCCGUGAUCCGGGUUGCGGACAGUGUCUGGUGGGUAGUUUGACUGGGGCGGUCUCCUCCUAAAGAGUAACGGAGGAGCACGAAGGUUGGCUAAUCCUGGUCGGACAUCAGGAGGUUAGUGCAAUGGCAUAAGCCAGCUUGACUGCGAGCGUGACGGCGCGAGCAGGUGCGAAAGCAGGUCAUAGUGAUCCGGUGGUUCUGAAUGGAAGGGCCAUCGCUCAACGGAUAAAAGGUACUCCGGGGAUAACAGGCUGAUACCGCCCAAGAGUUCAUAUCGACGGCGGUGUUUGGCACCUCGAUGUCGGCUCAUCACAUCCUGGGGCUGAAGUAGGUCCCAAGGGUAUGGCUGUUCGCCAUUUAAAGUGGUACGCGAGCUGGGUUUAGAACGUCGUG